This 775-nucleotide ribosomal RNA is filed under the name uncultured Neocallimastigales. Its description in RNAcentral is "partial large subunit ribosomal RNA". It matches the Rfam family "Eukaryotic large subunit ribosomal RNA", at positions 23 to 631 of the family's 3401-position model. Lineage: Eukaryota; Fungi; Neocallimastigomycota; Neocallimastigomycetes; Neocallimastigales. The record is from RNAcentral.
AGAGAUGUGUGAUGACGCAUAUCAAUAAGCGGAGGAAAAGAAACUAACAAGGAUUCCCUAGUAACGGCGAGUGAAGCGGGAAGAGCUCAAAUUUGAAAUCUUCAAGGUUUUACCUUGACGAAUUGUAGUUUAAAGAAGUGUUUUCUGUUGGAGUUUCGGUAAAAGUUCUUUGGAAUAGGACAUCAUAGAGGGUGAGAAUCCCGUAUUUGACCGUUACUUUCCAGCUGUGUGAUACACUUUCAAAGAGUCGGAUUGUUUGGGAAUGCAGUCCAAAAUGGGUGGUAAAUUUCAUCUAAAGCUAAAUAUUGGCGAGAGACCGAUAGCGAACAAGUACCGUGAGGGAAAGAUGAAAAGAACUUUGAAAAGAGAGUUAAACAGUACGUGAAAUUGUCAAAAGGGAAGCGUUUGACACCAGUGUUGUUUUUCCGAAAAUCAAUUACGAAUGUUUUAUUUUUGAGGAGUUAUGACUUCAUCGGCUUGCUCCUUUCUUUAUGAAACUUUCUUGAUGCACUUUUCGGUUAACAAGUCAACAUCAAUUUCUUUUGUUGUAAAAGGGUAUGAGGAAGGUGGCUUUCUUUUCGGAGAAAGUGUUUAUAGCCUUGUAGCCUCUGCAAUCGGAGAGAUUGAGGUCUGCAGCGUAGAUCCUUCGGGGUUAGAUACGUUUGUGCUAAGUUAUAGCUUUUCAUAGACAACUUGUUGACUAUGUUUAGUCUUGUAGCUUACUCGCUGAUGCUAUUUUACCUACGCUUAGGAUGUUGAGUCGUAGAGCACGCAG